UUGCAGCACAUAUGCAGUUCAGCUGCUGGAACCACAUAGAGAAGAUUAGCAUAGCCCCUGCACAAGGAAGGCAUGCAAAUUCUUGAGGAGUUCCGCAUUUGC
Molecule: small nuclear RNA, 102 nt
Organism: Erinaceus europaeus (western European hedgehog)
Lineage: Eukaryota; Metazoa; Chordata; Mammalia; Eulipotyphla; Erinaceidae
Source: Ensembl